This 459-nucleotide ribosomal RNA is filed under the name uncultured bacterium. RNAcentral's name for it is "partial 16S ribosomal RNA". It matches the Rfam family "Bacterial small subunit ribosomal RNA", at positions 338 to 795 of the family's 1533-position model. The record is from RNAcentral.
CCUACGGGAGGCAGCAGUGAGGAAUAUUGGUCAAUGGGCGCGAGCCUGAACCAGCCAAGUCGCGUGAGGGAAGACGGUCCUAUGGAUUGUAAACCUCUUUUGUCGGGGAGCAAAAGACGCCACGCGUGGCGUUCCGAGAGUACCCGAAGAAAAAGCAUCGGCCAACUCCGUGCCAGCAGCCGCGGUAAUACGGAGGAUGCGAGCGUUAUCCGGAUUUAUUGGGUUUUAAGGGUGCGCAGGCGGAAGAUCAAGUCAGCGGUAAAAUUGAGAGGCUCAACCUCUUCGAGCCGUUGAAACUGGUGUUCUUGAGUGAGCGAGAAGUAUGCGGAAUGCGUGGUGUAGCGGUGAAAUGAAUAGAUAUCACGCAGAACUCCGAUUGCGAAGGCAGCAUACCGGCGCUCAACUGACGCUCAUGCACGAAAGUGUGGGUAUCGAACAGGAUUAGAUACCCUUGUAGUC